This 488-nucleotide ribosomal RNA is filed under the name uncultured bacterium. RNAcentral describes it as "partial 16S ribosomal RNA". It matches the Rfam family "Bacterial small subunit ribosomal RNA", at positions 30 to 506 of the family's 1533-position model. The record is from RNAcentral.
UUGAACGCUGGCGGCAGGCCUAACCCCUGCAAGUCGAACGGUAACAGGAAGAAGCUUGCUUCUUUGCUGACGAGUGGCGGACGGGUGAGUAAUGUCUGGGAAACUGCCUGAUGGAGGGGGAUAACUACUGGAAACGGUAGCUAAUACCGCAUAACGUCGCAAGACCAAAGAGGGGGACCUUCGGGCCUCUUGCCAUCGGAUGUGCCCAGAUGGGAUUAGCUAGUAGGUGGGGUAACGGCUCACCUAGGCGACGAUCCCUAGCUGGUCUGAGAGGAUGACCAGCCACACUGGAACUGAGACACGGUCCAGACUCCUACGGGAGGCAGCAGUGGGGAAUAUUGCACAAUGGGCGCAAGCCUGAUGCAGCCAUGCCGCGUGUAUGAAGAAGGCCUUCGGGUUGUAAAGUACUUUCAGCGGGGAGGAAGGGAGUAAAGUUAAUACCUUUGCUCAUUGACGUUACCCGCAGAAGAAGCACCGGCUAACUCCGU